This 277-nucleotide ribosomal RNA is filed under the name uncultured eukaryote. RNAcentral's name for it is "partial 18S ribosomal RNA". It matches the Rfam family "Eukaryotic small subunit ribosomal RNA", at positions 582 to 870 of the family's 1831-position model. The record is from RNAcentral.
AUUCCAGCUCCAAUAUGUAUAUAAAGUGUUGAGUUAAAAAGCUCGUAGUUAACCUUGGGUCUGGCUGGCCGGUCCGCCUCACCGCGAGUACUGGUCCGGCUGGACCUUUCCUUCUGGGGAACCUCAUGGCCUUCACUGGCUGUGGGGGGAACCCCGACUUUUUCUGUGAAAAAAUUAUAGUGUUCUGAGCAGGCCUUUGCUCGAAUACAUUAGCAUGGAAUAAUAGAAUAUGACGUGCGGUUCUAUUUUGUUGGUUUCUAGGACCGCCGUAAUGAUU